GGUCUGGAAUGAUUUCCUUUGAAACUCGUGCUAAGGAUGAGGCUGCGGCUGAUUAGGCAGUUGGUGGGGUAAUGGCCUACCAAACCUAUGAUCAGUACGGGCCAUGAGAGUGGUAGCCCGGAGAAGGACACUGAGAUACUGGUCCUAGCUCCACGGAGUGCAGCAGUCGCGGAAACUUUACAAUGCACGAAAGUGUGAUAAGGGGAUCCUAAGUGCCUAUGCUUAGCAUAGGCUUUUUCCAAGAUUAAGGAUCUUGGAGAAUAAGUGGUGGGUAAGACUGGUGCCAGCCGCCGCGGUAACCCCAGCGCCACAAGUCGCAAUCACGAUUAUUGGGCCUAAAGCGUCCGUAGCCGGACCAGCAAAUCUUUUGUGAAAUCGUUAAACUCAAUUUAACGGCGAGCAGAAGACACUACUGGUCUUGAGACCGGGAGGAGUUAGAAGUAUUCCUGGGGGAACGGUAAAAUGUGAUAAUCCCAGGAGGACUACCAAUGGCGAAGGCAUCUAACCAGAACGGAUCUGACGGUCAGGGACGAAAGCUAGGGGAGCGAACCGGAUUAGAUACAAAUCUUUACGAAAGAUUUGAUAGAAAGUGUGGAACAUGCGCUAACGCUUAGUUCCACGAGUGGAUGUUUGUGUUCGCAGUAAAUGUACUAUAAACGUUCAUACAUGGUAAAGAUUUGCUAAUUACCCGAGUAGUCCUAGCUGUAAACGCUGUGAGUUAGGUGUCGCACAUUCUUCGAGAAUAUGCGGUGUCGAAACGAAGGUACUAAA
Molecule: ribosomal RNA, 771 nt
Filed under: uncultured euryarchaeote
Lineage: Archaea; Methanobacteriati; Methanobacteriota
Description: bacterial SSU rRNA
Rfam family: Archaeal small subunit ribosomal RNA
Source: RNAcentral